UACAGAGGGGGCAAGCGUUGUUCGGAAUUACUGGGCGUAAAGGGCGCGUAGGCGGCCUGCUAAGUCGAACGUGAAAGCCCCCGGCUCAACCGGGGAACUGCGCUUGAAACUGUUAGGCUCGAGUCAGCUAGAGGUACACGGAACUUCCAGUGGAGCGGUGAAAUGUGUUGAUAUUGGAAGGAACACCGGAGGCGAAAGCGGUGUACUGGGGCUGGUCUGACGCUGAGGCACGAAAGCCAGGGGAGCGAACGGG
Molecule: ribosomal RNA, 253 nt
Filed under: uncultured bacterium
Lineage: Bacteria
Description: partial 16S ribosomal RNA
Rfam family: Bacterial small subunit ribosomal RNA
Source: RNAcentral